AUGACGGUACCAUUUGUAAGCUCCGGCUAACUCCGUGCCAGCAGCCGCGGUAAUACGGGGGGAGCAAGCGUUGUUCGGAUUUACUGGGCGUAAAGGGCGCGUAGGCGGCCAGCACAAGUCAGUUGUGAAAUCUCCGGGCUUAACUCGGAAAGGUCAACUGAUACUGUGCGGCUAGAGUGCGGAAGGGGCAACUGGAAUUCUCGGUGUAGCGGUGAAAUGCGUAGAUAUCGAGAGGAACACCUGCGGCGAAGGCGGGUUGCUGGGCCGACACUGACGCUGAUGCGCGAAAGCCAGGGGAGCGAACGGGAUUAGAUACCCCGGUAGUCCUGGCCUUAAACGAUGGAUGCUUGGUGUCUGGGGUUUUAUAGUCCCCGGGUGCCGGAGCUAACGCGUUAAGCAUCCCGCCUGGGGAGUACGGUCGCAAGACUGAAACUCAAAGGAAUUGACGGGGACCCGCACAAGCGGUGGAGCAUGUGGUUCAAUUCGACGCAACGCGAAGAACCUUACCAGGGCUAGAAUGCCUCUGACAACCCCAGAGAUGGGGCCUCUUAGGGAAACCUAGGCAGAGUGCAAGG
RNAcentral lists this ribosomal RNA (575 nucleotides) under uncultured Acidobacteriota bacterium. RNAcentral describes it as "bacterial SSU rRNA". It matches the Rfam family "Bacterial small subunit ribosomal RNA", at positions 469 to 1038 of the family's 1533-position model. Lineage: Bacteria; Pseudomonadati; Acidobacteriota. The record is from RNAcentral.